UCAAUGGAGAGUUUGAUCCUGGCUCAGGACGAACGCUGGCGGCAUGCCUAAUACAUGCAAGUCGAGCGGACCCGAGGUGCUUGCACCUCAAUGGGUCAGCGGCGGACGGGUGAGUAACACGUGGGCAACCUGCCCAACAGACUGGGAUAACUCCGGGAAACCGGAGCUAAUACCGGAUAUCCUCUUUUCACCACCUGGUGAAAAGAGAAAAGGCGGUUUCGGCCGCCACUGUUGGAUGGGCCCGCGGCGCAUUAGCUAGUUGGUGAGGUAAGGGCUCACCAAGGCGACGAUGCGUAGCCGACCUGAGAGGGUGAUCGGCCACACUGGAACUGAGACACGGUCCAGACUCCUACGGGAGGCAGCAGUAGGGAAUCAUCCGCAAUGGGCGAAAGCCUGACGGUGCAAUGCCGCGUGAGUGAUGAAGGUUUUCGGAUCGUAAAGCUCUGUUGUGAGGGAAGAACAAGUUCGGGAGGAAAUGCCCGAGCCGUGACGGUACCUCACCAGAAAGCCACGGCUAACUACGUGCCAGCAGCCGCGGUAAUACGUAGGUGGCAAGCGUUGUCCGGAAUUAUUGGGCGUAAAGGGCACGCAGGCGGUUCUUUAAGUCUGAUGUGAAAGGCUGUGGCUCAACCACAGAAUUGCAUUGGAAACUGGAGAACUUGAGUGCAGAAGAGGAGAGUGGAAUUCCACGUGUAGCGGUGAAAUGCGUAGAUAUGUGGAGGAACACCAGUGGCGAAGGCGACUCUCUGGUCUGUAACUGACGCUGAGGUGCGAAAGCGUGGGGAGCAAACAGGAUUAGAUACCCUGGUAGUCCACGCCGUAAACGUUGAGUGCUAGGUGUUAGGGGUUUCGAUACCCGUAGUGCCGAAGCAAACGCAUUAAGCACUCCGCCUGGGGAGUACGACCGCAAGGUUGAAACUCAAAGGAAUUGACGGGGGCCCGCACAAGCGGUGGAGCAUGUGGUUUAAUUCGACGCAACGCGAAGAACCUUACCAGGUCUUGACAUCCUUUGAUCGCUCUAGAGAUAGAGUUUUCCCUUCGGGGACAAAGUGACAGGUGGUGCAUGGUUGUCGUCAGCUCGUGUCGUGAGAUGUUGGGUUAAGUCCCGCAACGAGCGCAACCCUUGACCUUAGUUGCCAGCAUUUAGUUGGGCACUCUAAGGUGACUGCCGGUGACAAACCGGAGGAAGGCGGGGAUGACGUCAAAUCAUCAUGCCCCUUAUGACCUGGGCUACACACGUGCUACAAUGGACGGUACAACGGGAAGCGAAGCCGCGAGGUGGAGCCAAUCCUAAAAAGCCGUUCUCAGUUCGGAUUGUAGGCUGCAACUCGCCUACAUGAAGCUGGAAUCGCUAGUAAUCGCGGAUCAGCAUGCCGCGGUGAAUACGUUCCGGGCCUUGUACACACCGCCCGUCACACCACGAGAGCCAGCAACACCCGAAGUCGGUGAGGCAACCGUUUACGGAGCCAGCCGCCGAAGGUGGGGCCGGUGAUUGGGGUGAAGUCGUAACAAGGUAUCCCUACCGGAAGGUGGGGAUGGAUCACCUCCUUUCU
This 1553-nucleotide ribosomal RNA is filed under the name Geomicrobium sp. JCM 19038. Its description in RNAcentral is "SSU rRNA". It matches the Rfam family "Bacterial small subunit ribosomal RNA". The record is from RNAcentral. Lineage: Bacteria; Bacillati; Bacillota; Bacilli; Caryophanales.